This 292-nucleotide ribosomal RNA is filed under the name uncultured bacterium. RNAcentral's name for it is "partial 16S ribosomal RNA". It matches the Rfam family "Bacterial small subunit ribosomal RNA", at positions 505 to 796 of the family's 1533-position model. The record is from RNAcentral.
GUGCCAGCCGCCGCGGUAAUACGUAGGGGGCUAGCGUUGUCCGGAUUCAUUGGGCGUAAAGCGCACGCAGGCGGCUUGGUAAGUCAUCGGUGAAAUCCCUCGGCUCAACCGGGGGGGGUCCGGCGAAACUGCCAGGCUUGAGGUCGGGAGGGGGAAGCGGAAUUCCGGGUGUAGUGGUGGAAUGCGUAGAUAUCCGGAGGAACACCAGUGGCGAAGGCGGCUUCCUGGCCCGAAUCUGACGCUGAGGUGCGAAAGCGUGGGGAGCGAUCCGGAUUAGAUACCCGAGUAGUCC